This 970-nucleotide long non-coding RNA is filed under the name Homo sapiens (human). Its description in RNAcentral is "HSALNT0031154". The record is from RNAcentral. Lineage: Eukaryota; Metazoa; Chordata; Mammalia; Primates; Hominidae.
GCCAACACAUGCUCAGCUGUGCCAAAGAUGAGAGGAGCAGGGCAUGUGCCUCGGGCAGCUCUGGUAGUUUCAUUAAGAUUCCUGUUUGCUGGGUAUGUCGUGGGGAAGCUGAUCAUGGUGUUCCCACCACCACGGCUAGCUGGGAAAGCCUUGUCUCACCUACCUCCAUCUCCUGCUUCCUGGGCACCUGCUUGCGGGAGAGAGAGAGAGCAAUUCAGCACACUGGGGCCAGACACUGCCGCUACAUGUGGUGGAACCAAGUGACAGAGGGGGAGUAAGCGGAGGCUGGAAUUUCUCCCUCUGUUGGCUCUCCCUGACCACCUGCCUGCUUAGCCUCUCCUCUUCCCCCAGUGAAAGUGCUGCAGCAAUCUCGGCCUUUGGCACUCUCCUCAGGAAUUUAUGAAGCUUGUGAUGUGAAUGAUGGAGCCAGCUAAGCCUCCUCUGCACUGACAGCUCAGCACAAUGACCUGUUGGGUGAUGAAAGAAAUGCCAGGUGCUUCAGUUUUCUGUUCCACCGAGUGGAUGUGUCCCCCGCCUCUGUCUCUCAGCUUCUGGAGGAAUUGAAGCCUGUGACAUGUUUCGUUCCCAGAUGCUUCUUGCAGCCUCUACCCGACACUGCUUAUGGAAGCUGAGGCUCAGAGAGGGCUCUGGAAUAUUUCAGCCGCUUACAUGUAGCCAUUUUGGUGUGGUUGUGUCAAAAUGACUUUGCCCAGAUGCAAAACCACUGGUAACUUAAACUUCUUUUUUAAGUAGUAUCUCCCAGGGAUCUCUGUAAGCCAUGUCACCCCCACCUGGUCUCUCCCUUUCCUCUUCCUCAACCCUGCCCUGACCCUGACUUACCCAACCCCUGCUUGAUCUUCAUGUGAUGAUGAGGCAGGUGUGGGGAAGAAGAAAGUAUUUGCAUAUUACUUGGUAAUUUUUCAGGAGGUAAAUGUUGGAUGCAUGUGCCUGCUGUUGUUUUGGUUUUAGG